Molecule: ribosomal RNA, 116 nt
Filed under: Pteropus alecto (black flying fox)
Lineage: Eukaryota; Metazoa; Chordata; Mammalia; Chiroptera; Pteropodidae
Source: RNAcentral
GUCUAUGGCCAUGGCACCCUGAACAAGCCUGAUGUUUGAUAUCGGAAGCUACGCAGGGUCGGGCCUGGUUAGUACUUGGAUGGGAGACCACCUAAGAAGACCAAGUGCUGUAGACG